GUGCUCCCUUCAGCAGCACAUAUACUAAAAUCAGAAUGAUACAGAAGAGAUUAGCAUGCUCCUGCACAAGAAUAACGCGCAAAUCCAUGAAGCCUUCCAUAUUUAA
This is a small nuclear RNA of Ochotona curzoniae (black-lipped pika), 106 nucleotides long. The record is from RefSeq and is a predicted model, not a curated record. Lineage: Eukaryota; Metazoa; Chordata; Mammalia; Lagomorpha; Ochotonidae.